RNAcentral lists this ribosomal RNA (497 nucleotides) under uncultured bacterium. RNAcentral describes it as "partial 16S ribosomal RNA". It matches the Rfam family "Bacterial small subunit ribosomal RNA", at positions 28 to 507 of the family's 1533-position model. The record is from RNAcentral.
GAUGAACGCUGGCGGCGUGCCUAAUACAUGCCAGUCGAGCGAACGGACGAGAAGCUUGCUUUUCUGAUGUUAGCGGCGGACGAGUGAGUAACACGUGGAUAACCUACCUAUAAGACUGGGAUAACUUCGGGAAACCGGAGCUAAUACCGGAUAAUAUUUUGAACCGCAUGGUUCAAAAGUGAAAGACGGUCUUGCUGUCACUUAUAGAUGGAUCCGCGCUGCAUUAGCUAGUUGGUAAGGUAACGGCUUACCAAGGCAACGAUGCAUAGCCGACCUGAGAGGGUGAUCGGCCACACUGGAACUGAGACACGGUCCAGACUCCUACGGGAGGCAGCAGUAGGGAAUCUUCCGCAAUGGGCGAAAGCCUGACGGAGCAACGCCGCGUGAGUGAUGAAGGUCUUCGGAUCGUAAAACUCUGUUAUUAGGGAAGAACAUAUGUGUAAGUAACUGUGCACAUCUUGACGGUACCUAAUCAGAAAGCCACGGCUAACUACGUG